AUCUUUGUGCAGUGGCAUUAUCAUAGCCCAAGAUGUUAAUCCGAGGCGUGAAUAUUGCUAAUUGAAAACUUUACCCAAUACCCUACCUUGAUGACUUGAAAUAUAGUCAGCUCUGGCAAUUCAUGAUAGUCUCUAUUGAGA
Nerophis lumbriciformis (worm pipefish) is the source of this 141-nucleotide small nuclear RNA. RefSeq annotates it as U4 spliceosomal RNA. NCBI's taxonomy places the organism in Eukaryota, Metazoa, Chordata, Actinopteri, Syngnathiformes, Syngnathidae. The record is from RefSeq and is a predicted model, not a curated record.